AUCUCUAUUGAAGCAAGAAGACCCCCUGAAUUUAAGCAUAUAAUUAAGG
This 49-nucleotide ribosomal RNA is filed under the name Heterosigma akashiwo. RNAcentral describes it as "partial Eukaryotic large subunit ribosomal RNA". The record is from RNAcentral. Lineage: Eukaryota; Raphidophyceae; Chattonellales; Chattonellaceae.